This 254-nucleotide ribosomal RNA is filed under the name uncultured bacterium. RNAcentral describes it as "partial 16S ribosomal RNA". It matches the Rfam family "Bacterial small subunit ribosomal RNA", at positions 524 to 776 of the family's 1533-position model. The record is from RNAcentral.
UACGUAGGGUCCAAGCGUUAUCCGGAAUUACUGGGCGUAAAGCGUGCGUAGGCGGCGCGUUAAGUGAGAUGCGAAAUCCUGUGGCUCAACCAUAUGGACUGUGUCUCAUACUGACGUGCUUGAGGAUGGCAGAGGCAAGUGGAAUUACCGGUGUAGCAGUGAAAUGCGUAGAUAUCGGUAGGAACACCAAUGGCGAAGGCAGCUUGCUGGGCCACACCUGACGCUGAGGUACGAAAGCGUGGGGAGCGAACAGG